RNAcentral lists this ribosomal RNA (407 nucleotides) under uncultured bacterium. RNAcentral's name for it is "bacterial SSU rRNA". It matches the Rfam family "Bacterial small subunit ribosomal RNA", at positions 355 to 774 of the family's 1533-position model. The record is from RNAcentral.
UGGGGAAUAUUGCACAAUGGGCGCAAGCCUGAUGCAGCAACGCCGCGUGAGGGACGACGGCCUUCGGGUUGUAAACCUCUUUUGGCAGGGAAGAAGCGAAAGUGACGGUACCUGCAGAAAAAGCACCGGCUAACUACGUGCCAGCAGCCGCGGUGAUACGUAGGGUGCAAGCGUUGUCCGGAAUUAUUGGGCGUAAAGAGCUCGUAGGCGGUUUGUCGCGUCUGCUGUGAAAACCCGAGGCUCAACCUCGGGCCUGCAGUGGGUACGGGCAAACUAGAGUGCGGUAGGGGACAUUGGAAUUCCCGGUGUAGCGGUGGAAUGCGCAGAUAUCAGGAGGAACACCGAUGGCGAAGGCAGAUCUCUGGGCCGUAACUGACGCUGAGGAGCGAAAGCAUGGGGAGCGAACA